This is a long non-coding RNA of Biomphalaria glabrata, 454 nucleotides long. RefSeq lists it as uncharacterized. The record is from RefSeq and is a predicted model, not a curated record. The transcript is spliced from 2 exons. Lineage: Eukaryota; Metazoa; Mollusca; Gastropoda; Planorbidae.
AUGAAUCUACCUUUAGUCUGGUCUGUUUCAUUCUAAAGGUGGUUAGAAUCACAGUAAUGAUAUUUUUCUGACCAUUGUCGAAAAAAAAAACGCUGGCUAAGACUGUACAUCUAUUUAAAGGGCUUGCAAAACUUUUUCUGCAGGGAACAGUUCCAGGAAAAAGAAGGAGAGGCAGAUAAAAGAUGCAAUGGGGGACAACAUUAUGAACUGUACAGCCCUGUCUAUGGAAAAGCUGCUUAUUCUGGCAAAAGAAAGUAAUGGAGAGAAUUUACCAACAGUUCAUGGAUGCCCUAAAAAGACUAAAGGAUUACUGAAGACAUGCCUACCGCCAAGACCCAGAAUGUGGAACACUCAGGUUGAAAAUGUGGAAUUUUGGGCCCCAAUGUGGAACAUACACGCGGUUACGUUUGUCAGCCAUACUGUACGCAAUAAAGAAAAGUCUUGAUUUUUGUGA